Molecule: regulatory RNA element, 35 nt
Organism: Spirosoma montaniterrae
Lineage: Bacteria; Pseudomonadati; Bacteroidota; Cytophagia; Cytophagales; Cytophagaceae
Rfam family: DUF805b RNA
About the family: Bacteroidetes, Chlorobi (1 example), Proteobacteria.
Source: Rfam
GAGGUGUAAGCCAAAAAACCUAAAAAGAGUAGGCA